CCUACGGGAGGCAGCAGUAGGGAAUAUUGCUCAAUGGGGGAAACCCUGAAGCAGCAACGCCGCGUGAGGGAUGAAGGUUUUCGGAUUGUAAACUCCUUUUGGUAGGGAAGAUAAUGACGGUAUCUAACGAAUAAGCACCGGCUAACUACGUGCCAGCAGCCGCGGUAAUACGGAGGGUGCAAGCGUUACUCGGAAUUACUGGGCGUAAAGGGCGCGUAGGCGGGAUAGCAAGUCAGAUGUGAAAUCCGAGGGCUUAACCCUAGAACUGCAUUUGAAACUGUUAUUCUAGAGUAUGGGAGAGGUAGGUGGAAUUCUUGGUGUAGCGGUAAAAUGCGUAGAGAUCAAGAGGAACACUCAUUGCGAAGGCGACCUGCUGGAACAUAACUGACGCUGAUGCGCGAAAGCGUGGGGAGCAAACAGGAUUAGAUACCCCGGUAGUC
This 440-nucleotide ribosomal RNA is filed under the name uncultured bacterium. Its description in RNAcentral is "partial 16S ribosomal RNA". It matches the Rfam family "Bacterial small subunit ribosomal RNA", at positions 338 to 795 of the family's 1533-position model. The record is from RNAcentral.